This 1368-nucleotide long non-coding RNA is filed under the name Sus scrofa (pig). RNAcentral's name for it is "lncRNA (ENSSSCG00070007383.1)". Lineage: Eukaryota; Metazoa; Chordata; Mammalia; Artiodactyla; Suidae. The record is from RNAcentral.
GAAGACGAGCCUGGCCCCAAGGUAAGCUCACCUUUCUUGAUGUGAGGUUGGAAAAGGUGCCUCCUUUCUUCUUGGAUGUACCUCCUUCAGAAAUGGAAAUCUGAGAAAGUCCACUGUAGAUGAUAUAUGCAGAUUGCUGUGCGGAGGACUGUUGAGUCCAAGUUUGGUACCAAGCAGUAGCUCCUUCCCGGGGCAUUUGCAAAAGGGACCGCAUCAGUUCCCAAGUGUGCAGUAGGGAGCAUAUGUCUUUGAAGAAGCCGGAAUGUUGUUUUGUCUUGUUUGUCUUUUUUUGCCUUUUCUAGGGCCCCUCCCGCGGCAUAUGGAGAUGAGGUUCCCAGGCUAGGGGUCUGAUCGGAGCUGUAGCCACCGGCCUACGCCAGAGCCACAGCAACGUGGGAUCCGAGCCUCGUCUGCCACCUACACCACAGCUCAGGGCAGCGCCGGAUACUUCACCCACUGAGCAAGGCCAGGGAUCGAACCCGCAACCUCAUGGUUCUUGGUCCGAUUCGUUAACCACUGUGCCACGAUGGGAAGGCCAAAGAAGCCUGAAUGUUUGUUAAAUGUACGAGGACUUGGGAGAUCUUCCAUGAAAAGCUGGCGCCUUUUCCAAAGGGGUCUUCGCCGUGUUCUUUUGGGGAAACGGACUCAACGCUGCCUUCUGUCUGCGUGCCUGCGGUCCCCAACGGCAGGAAGACCUGUGGCCGCAGUGCAGAGGAUGCUGUGACACUCACCGUGUUUUCUCUUGUCUCAUCACAGGUGGACGGGGCGGACGAUGAAAUCUCUUGGAGCUUGGAGAGUGUGUGUGAGAGCGACCUCGCUGACAGCAACCUCGCAGAAAGUGAUCGAGGUAAGAACAGCUCUCAGGUAGGAGCCAGUGGGAGAGGGUUCCCGGGACACUUGGAACUUAGGCCUGCUGCUUGGAGGGUGGGGCGGGUGAGUGUGCAAUUGCAAAAGAGAAAGAAAUUGGUGUAAAGAUGUUCGUCGCCUAUGUUCCUAAGGAGGGGGAGCAGGUAUGAGAUGCCCGAAUGUUGGCAUCUGUGCUCACGUUGUGUUGGCGGGCCUCAGUCCCUGGAGCAGAGGGAAGGCCUGGGCACCUGGAGGAAAAACCCGGGUGAUGCUGUGUGACCCGCCGUCACCUCGGGGAAGCCGGGGAAACGGGAGGGCCACUCCUUCUCACGCCUCGCUUCCCCGCGGUGUGUUUCUACAGACUCGGUGGCGGAGCGCACCGACUGCCGCCAGGAUGAGGAGGCUGCAGGUAGGGAAGAGCACGCAGCUGGGAUCCAGGGGGAGAGGGUUCCUGGGAGCAGCUGGGUUCCACCUGCUGCCGGGAGGGCGGAAGGGGGCUAGGACUGGGUGGGUGGCCUACUG